This is a small nuclear RNA of Parambassis ranga (Indian glassy fish), 140 nucleotides long. Its record names the gene U1. It matches the Rfam family "U1 spliceosomal RNA". Rfam says of the family: U1 is a small nuclear RNA (snRNA) component of the spliceosome (involved in pre-mRNA splicing). Its 5' end forms complementary base pairs with the 5' splice junction, thus defining the 5' donor site of an intron. There are significant differences in sequence and secondary structure between metazoan and yeast U1 snRNAs, the latter being much longer (568 nucleotides as compared to 164 nucleotides in human). Lineage: Eukaryota; Metazoa; Chordata; Actinopteri; Ambassidae. The record is from Ensembl.
AGACAUGACCUGGCAGGGGAGAUACCGUGAUCAAGAAGGUGGUUCACCCAGGGCGAGGCUCAGCCAUUGCACUCUAGGUUGUGCUGACCCCUGCGAACUCAAAAACCAGGACAGAAACACUACAGUGAUCUUCAGCAGUC